UACAGAGGUCCCAAGCGUUGUUCGGAUUCACUGGGCGUAAAGGGUGCGUAGGCGGUCGGAUAAGUCUGAUGUGAAAUCUUCGAGCUCAACUCGGAAACUGCAUCGGAAACUAUUCGGCUAGAGGAUUGGAGGGGAGACUGGAAUUCUCGGUGUAGCAGUGAAAUGCGUAGAUAUCGAGAGGAACACCAGUGGCGAAGGCGAGUCUCUGGGCAUGACCUGACGCUGAGGAGCGAAAGUGUGGGGAGCGAACAGG
RNAcentral lists this ribosomal RNA (253 nucleotides) under uncultured bacterium. RNAcentral's name for it is "partial 16S ribosomal RNA". It matches the Rfam family "Bacterial small subunit ribosomal RNA", at positions 524 to 776 of the family's 1533-position model. The record is from RNAcentral.